CAGGUCACUCCUACGGGAGGCAGCAGUGGGGAAUCUUGCGCAAUGGGCGCAAGCCUGAUCCAGCCAUGCCGCGUGCGGGAAGAAGGCCUUCGGGUUGUAAACCGCUUUUGUCAGGGAAGAAAUCUUCUGGGCUAAUACCCCGGGAGGAUGACGGUACCUGAAGAAUAAGCACCGGCUAACUACGUGCCAGCAGCCGCGGUAAUACGUAGGGUGCGAGCGUUGUUCGGAAUCACUGGGCUUAAAGCGUGUGUAGGCGGUGCUCCAAGUCUGUUGUGAAAUCUCCCGGCUUAACUGGGAGGGUGCGGCGGAAACUGGAGUGCUCGAGUAUGGGAGAGGUAAGCGGAAUUCCUGGUGUAGCGGUGAAAUGCGUAGAUAUCAGGAGGAACACCGGUGGUGUAGACGGCUUUCUGGACCGACACUGACGCUGAAACACGAAAGCGUGGGUAGCAAACAGGAUUAGAUACCCUGGUAGUCCACGCCCUAAACGAUGCAUAUUUGGUGUGGGCAGUUCAUUCUGUCCGUGCCGGAGCUAACGCGUUAAAUAUGCCGCCUGGGGAGUACAGUCGCAAGGCUGAAACUUAAAGGAAUUGACGGGACUC
RNAcentral lists this ribosomal RNA (599 nucleotides) under uncultured Acidobacteriota bacterium. Its description in RNAcentral is "bacterial SSU rRNA". It matches the Rfam family "Bacterial small subunit ribosomal RNA", at positions 329 to 921 of the family's 1533-position model. Lineage: Bacteria; Pseudomonadati; Acidobacteriota. The record is from RNAcentral.